CCCUUAGAUGUCCUGGGCUGCACGCGCGCUACACUGAUGUGUUCAAUAAGCACCUAACCUACUCCGAAGGGACUGGGUAACCUUUGCAAAGCACAUCGUGAUGGGGAUAGAUUAUUGCAAUUAUUAGUCUUGAACGAGGAAUUCCUAGUAAGCGCAAGUCAUCAGCUUGUGUUGAUUACGUCCCUGCCCUUUGUACACACCGCCCGUCGCUCCUACCGAUUGAGUGGUCCGGUGAGGCUUUGGGAUCUGAGCGGAAAGAGCGUUUCGCUGUUUCUGCUCGGAAAACUCAGUCGAACCUUAUCAUUUAGAGGAAGGAGAAGUCGUAACA
Molecule: ribosomal RNA, 328 nt
Filed under: uncultured eukaryote
Lineage: Eukaryota
Description: partial 18S ribosomal RNA
Rfam family: Eukaryotic small subunit ribosomal RNA
Source: RNAcentral